This 318-nucleotide ribosomal RNA is filed under the name Triticum aestivum (bread wheat). RNAcentral's name for it is "partial small subunit ribosomal RNA". Lineage: Eukaryota; Viridiplantae; Streptophyta; Magnoliopsida; Poales; Poaceae. The record is from RNAcentral.
UUGUGGAAAGUGCAGGUUCCUGCGAAAAUCAAAGUAUUUCUUUGGCUGAUGAAUAAGAAAAGCAUUGUAUCUAAAGAUUCUUUGAUUAGAAGAGGGUGGAGAGGAUCUAAGGAAUGUGUACUUUGUGGUAGAGAGGAGCAGAUAGAUCACCUGUUAUUUACUUGUUCGGCGGCGACAUUGUUAUGGAGCUUACUAGAAUGUGCUUUUGUACUAAGAACCACUCCCACUUCAGCUGAGGAAUGCUUUGGGAUUCGGAUCAAAACUUCUAGGAAAACAGACCACAAAUUAGUUCUGGUAGGGUUGUCGGCUAUGUUCUAG